GGUGCGGCAGCUCCGGGACCCGAAAUUUUUGUUGUUGUGUGAGUGUGGAGAGGGCUCCGGGACGCCACGGGAGAAGCGGUGGAGAGGGCUUCUCGAUUUUUCGCUUCUCGAUUUUUCCAUGAAGACGGUGCAGGAGGAGAAAAAGAGGUGAGGUGAAAAGCGGUGAAAAGUGAGAGUAGAUAUUUCUGGAAGAUGCGCUUACCGGGAAGAGGCAUAGCAAACCGGUAGCCGGUAAACCACCUAUCCAGAAAAAUAGGCCACAAAGAAUGACCAAACCACCGAAGCGCAAAAUAGAAGAGUACGUGUCACGCAAUGACUUGACAAAUGAGUGGAUAAAUAGCCCGGCUACAGUAACUGAAUUGCUAAGGAGGAGGUUAAAUUGAUUGUCUUUUAUAUAGUGUAUAAUAAUGCAUGUGUUUUCUAGAUAUUUUUUCAGUGCCCGACACUGCAAUAUGAAAAGCUGCCAGAUUGUGCAAGAAAUACUAUGAUAUCCAGUGAAAUAAGUGGAGGCUUGGAUAUUCGUAAGUCAGUUAUUUAUACAUGGAUGCAUGGCUCCCGGUUAUGAAAUAUUAGUAGAGUGGCACCACCGUAUCUCCCCUUUAUUUUGAUUAUGUUUCCUUUCUCAACCCUUGCCGAAAGAUUACUUCCCUGUGAUCAGCACCUUCCUUUCAAGGUAAUCAAACAUUCAAACGUGUUCAGGUUGUUCUGAUGGUGAUGGAAAGCGGGUCGUUAAGAAUGAUUGAGGGAUAUUUACAACUUGGAUGGGAUUUGAUUGGAGGAGUGAGGUGACCAUGCAUCACAUCAAUUCUCACUUGGUACUUCAGUCAGGGCCUUACACUGCCAUCUACAAUCAACUAAUAUCAGCGAUCGUUAAUUCAGCAGGAGGUGUUCAUUUUAUGUCAGGCCAUGUGCAGGCCUACAAGUAGUACAUUUAUAUGGAAUGCUAUUGUUCCAUCCUUACCAGCUCAUGGCCGCGUAGUUUCAGCAUAUUUAUAUUUUCAAUAAUUUUUUCACGCCAUCAUUUUUCCGCUAACAAUUUUUUUUGAUCUUCUUCAUUCCAGCUGAGACAUCUUCUUAUGGUUGUUUAUUGUUGUGUGGAGUUUACAAAUGGCCUAAGAUUAUUUGAUCGACAAUGGCGAUAUGGAGAAUUCAAUAUGCAGAUUUUAUUACCAUUAGUAUUGUUAGUCCAGAUCCAAAAAGUUACAGUAUAUGUGGUUAAAUGAAGGUUCAAGGUGUGCCUGGUUUGAUCACUCCGGCAACCUGUCGGUAUUGUUGCCUGGUGUUGUGUGCACAUUUUCAGAAAAAUUGUUGGUGCUAAUGUUCUAUCAGGAUCUUCGGUGUAUCUUCUAUCUUUAGUUAGUGCUGAUAAGUAUUUGGAGAUUUUGCAUUUUGUCCCGGUUCAUGAAAUUGCUGAAUUCAGUAAACCUUUUCCUUCUUCUAGCAGAAGCAUUUUCAGGCGAGAAGAGGGAACCAUAACAUGUGAUUGUUGUUGUUUAUUUUUCCUUCUGCUAUGGCCAAAAGUGUCUGCAAUCAAAGCCUUCCUUGGUGCUUUUUAACGCACACAAUUCGGAAAAAAAGUUAUAGCAAAUAAUGCUAUAGAAACAUGUAUGACAACAGGCGCGGCGUGCCGCCGCGCCAUGGCUUACUAGUAUUUAUGUAUGAAUGCUAACAUUAGCGGUGAUUCUUCUUAAAGCAGCUAUGCAUUCUGUGGA
Molecule: long non-coding RNA, 1712 nt
Organism: Lolium rigidum
Lineage: Eukaryota; Viridiplantae; Streptophyta; Magnoliopsida; Poales; Poaceae
Exons: 6
Source: RefSeq, a predicted model, not a curated record